Molecule: ribosomal RNA, 253 nt
Filed under: uncultured bacterium
Lineage: Bacteria
Description: partial 16S ribosomal RNA
Rfam family: Bacterial small subunit ribosomal RNA
Source: RNAcentral
UACGUAGGGUGCAAGCGUUGUCCGGAAUUAUUGGGCGUAAAGAGCUCGUAGGCGGUUUGUCGCGUCUGCUGUGAAAACUCAGGGCUUAACCCUGAGCUUGCAGUGGGUACGGGCAGACUAGAGUGCGGUAGGGGAGACUGGAAUUCCUGGUGUAGCGGUGAAAUGCGCAGAUAUCAGGAGGAACACCGAUGGCGAAGGCAGGUCUCUGGGCCGAUACUGACGCUGAGGAGCGAAAGCGUGGGGAGCGAACAGG